CCUACGGGAGGCAGCAGUAGGGAAUUUUCGUCAAUGGGCGCAAGCCUGAACGAGCGAUGCCGCGUGAGUGAAGAAGGCCUUCGGGUCGUAAAGCUCUGUUGCGGGGGAAAAAAGGCAGCAUCAGGAAAUGGGUGCUGACUGAUGGUGCCCCGCAGGAAAGUCACGGCUCACUACGUGCCAGCAGCCGCGGUAAUACGUAGGUGGCGAGCGUUAUCCGGAAUGGUUGGGCGUAAAGGGUGCGCAGGCGGUCCUGCAAGUCGGUAGUGAAACGCAUGGGCUCAACUCAUGCAUGGCUUUGGAGACUGGAGGACUUGAGAGCAGUAGAGGGCGGUGGAACGCGAGGUGUAGCGGUAAAAUGCGUAGAUAUCUGGAAGAACACCAGUGGCGAAGGCGGCCGGCUGGCCUGUUGCUGACGCUGAGGCACGAAAGCGUGGGGAGCAAAUAGGAUUAGAUACCCCUGUAGUC
RNAcentral lists this ribosomal RNA (465 nucleotides) under uncultured bacterium. RNAcentral's name for it is "partial 16S ribosomal RNA". It matches the Rfam family "Bacterial small subunit ribosomal RNA", at positions 338 to 795 of the family's 1533-position model. The record is from RNAcentral.